This 55-nucleotide transfer RNA is filed under the name Crataraea suturalis. RNAcentral describes it as "tRNA-Glu". The record is from RNAcentral. Lineage: Eukaryota; Metazoa; Arthropoda; Insecta; Coleoptera; Staphylinidae.
UUUUAUAUAGUUUAAAAAAAACAUUACAUUUUCAAUGUAAAAAUAAUUUUAAAAU